Molecule: regulatory RNA element, 131 nt
Organism: Desulfosporosinus sp. I2
Lineage: Bacteria; Bacillati; Bacillota; Clostridia; Eubacteriales; Desulfitobacteriaceae
Rfam family: Ribosomal protein L20 leader
About the family: This family is a putative r-protein leader autoregulatory structure found in B. subtilis and other low-GC Gram-positive bacteria. It is located in the 5' untranslated regions of mRNAs encoding initiation factor 3 followed by ribosomal proteins L35 and L20 (infC-rpmI-rplT).
Source: Rfam
UAAGUCAAGUAGAAGCCAUCCGCUUCUCACCUUACGACGUUCGUUGUUAAGGUAUCUUCUGGUCUUGAGCUUAGUUGUGCUCGUGAUUAUAUAGAAGACGGGUGGUAAUUCAUCCGUCUUUUUUGUUUGUG